AUACUUACUUGGCGUCGGAGAUGCCCUGAUCGUGGAGGGGGUUCUCCUGGUCGGAGGCUGUUUAUUGCACUUCGGGCUGCUGGCGGUUGCCACUUCCGCAAAGUGCGGUUGGUUGGGGCGCAUAAUUUUUGUUUAUGCGUUUAGAAAUUUUAGAUCGAG
RNAcentral lists this small nuclear RNA (159 nucleotides) under Stegodyphus mimosarum. Its description in RNAcentral is "U1 spliceosomal RNA". It matches the Rfam family "U1 spliceosomal RNA". From Rfam's summary of the family: U1 is a small nuclear RNA (snRNA) component of the spliceosome (involved in pre-mRNA splicing). Its 5' end forms complementary base pairs with the 5' splice junction, thus defining the 5' donor site of an intron. The record is from Rfam by way of RNAcentral. Lineage: Eukaryota; Metazoa; Arthropoda; Arachnida; Araneae; Eresidae.